GGGGAAUCUUGCGCAAUGGGCGAAAGCCUGACGCAGCGACGCCGCGUGAGCGAUGAAGGCCUUCGGGUUGUAAAGCUCUGUGGGGAGAGAAGAAUAAGGGUUGGCUAACAUCCAACCUGAUGACGGUAUCUCCUUAGCAAGCACCGGCUAACUCUGUGCCAGCAGCCGCGGUAAGACAGAGGGUGCAAACGUUGUUCGGAAUCACUGGGCGUAAAGCGCGUGUAGGCGGCUUGGCAAGUCGGAUGUGAAAUCCCACGGCUCAACCAUGGAAGUGCAUUCGAAACUGCCAGACUAGAGUCCUGGAGAGGAAGGCGGAAUACUCGGUGUAGAGGUGAAAUUCGUAGAUAUCGAGUGGAACACCGGUGGCGAAGGCGGCCUUCUGGACAGUGACUGACGCUGAAACGCGAAAGCGUGGGGAGCAAAC
RNAcentral lists this ribosomal RNA (424 nucleotides) under uncultured bacterium. RNAcentral describes it as "bacterial SSU rRNA". It matches the Rfam family "Bacterial small subunit ribosomal RNA", at positions 356 to 773 of the family's 1533-position model. The record is from RNAcentral.